This 29-nucleotide non-coding RNA is filed under the name Mus musculus (house mouse). The record is from RNAcentral. Lineage: Eukaryota; Metazoa; Chordata; Mammalia; Rodentia; Muridae.
GUAUUGGUCAGGUGCUGGCAAAGCCUCUC